Molecule: long non-coding RNA, 1765 nt
Organism: Astatotilapia calliptera (eastern happy)
Lineage: Eukaryota; Metazoa; Chordata; Actinopteri; Cichliformes; Cichlidae
Source: Ensembl
GCUGUGGCCCCCCCACACUCCCUAGCAGAUCGUUACAUGGAGAAACCUUUGGAAUACAAGCGCGCUGAUCCACACAGGUAUGCACACGGGUGUUCACUGCUCGUAGACCCAAAUUACACCUUUCUUGGCUGCUACUUCGAAGCACAUCUGUCCUGCGUGCUGCACAACAACAUUGAAUAUUUAGUAUUUACUGCUGUUUACACUGUUUACAACAGGUGAUCCAGGAGAUUUUUAUUUUUUUUCUCCCCCCCUUUCUCACUGUCCCUCUCCCCUUCUGUUUUUCCUUUCCUUCCUCUUUCUUUCUCCCUUUCCUAUCUCUCACUCAUGUCUGUCCCGUCUGUAACAUCUGAAAAUAAAAUAUAAUAAAUACCGUAAUUGUCGGGCUAUAAGCCGCUACUUUUUGCACAAGCUUUGAACCCUGUGGCUUUUAGUCAGGUGCGGCUAAUGUAUGUACAAAACAGGAUUUUCCCCUGAUUUUAGCUUGUGCGGCUAAUAUUCAGGUGCGCUUUGUAGUCCGGGAAAUACGGUAAUAAAAACAAAGAUCGACCAAAUGGACCAAUACGGCAAUGCCACGAUGAUCCAUUUGGCAAAGUAAAUCCAUUGGGUAUCCUUGUUGGUCUUCAGACAACAAUUCUGAUGGCUAAAGAACCAAAUGGGACAGGCGAAAAAAAAAAAAAAAAGAAAAAAAGAAAAAAGAAAAGGAAUACUGAAAGGAGAGAAGGAGGCAAAGAGGAUGCGUUGAAAUGGAGAGGAGAAAGAAGAAAAGACUAAAGACAGUGAGGAAAGGAAACAAGGAAGAAGAAAAAGGAAGAAGGGUUUUGGCAGAGGAGGGUUGCACAGGAGAAAAGAAGGAAAGAAAACAAAGAAAACAGACUGAAUUAUUACAUGUGAAACAAACACAAACGGAGAGCGUAACAUAAAAAUCAAAAAUGCUUUUUAGAAUCACUCUAUGGUGAUGGAGACUGGCCCACCCAUUAAUGAGGGGGUGCGUUGGCUAUCAUUAUACAUAUACAACAGAUAUACAAAAGUGGCAAGGCAUUGUAAAUUCAUCUGUGGAUAUAUUUGGGCCUCAGCAGUCUGGUUUGCCUCUGUCUAUCAGGUCAUUUGGGCUCGUUAAACCUUCUUUUAUUUUUCGCUUUACUUUACAGCACACACCCACACUCUGCACACAUCACUGAAAAACAGCUUUGCGUUUUUGUUCUUAAAUGCAGAACGGUGUUGGAGAAAACAUGUCUCCGGUCUUCCCAGGCCACAGUGUGAACUGAGGAGAGUUGAUGAAGGGUCAGAGACGGAACAGAACAGAGGAGUCUAGUUCUGGUUGCUCCACACAGCCCCGAGGCCCUCUGGGUAAUUUGAGCAGUCUUGCACAAAGCAGAUGCUACCCAGGGACACCCUCGCACCCCCCAAAGCCCUCUGUCCUUAGUCACUGAGCCAAAUCAGUGCCCAUUUGUCCCCUCACCUCCUACUUUUUCUUCUUUUUAUUUUUACUCAGUCCUUUUAAACCUCUACUAUUCUUCUUCUCUGCCUCCAUCCUACUUUCUGAUGUAGGAAGAGAUGAGAGAAAAGGAUAGCUCCAUCUACUAGCCAUUUGUACUACUCCUUCCUUAUUUUCUCCCUCUCUUAUUUUAUAAGCUUCUUCACUCUCUGAUAUUCUCCUGCUUCAAAGAGGGCAUCUCUGUUAAAUUCUAGCAGUAUGAUGAGAAGGAUCAUUUGGAAAUUUUCAAUAGAGUCAAGAAAAUUACUUUGACCUAACCCUAACUGUGCA